ACAACAUUCGGACGGUCGGUCUACCGAGCAAUAUCAGCCGCUCGGUGGAAGAUCUUCCCUAUGUCGU
RNAcentral lists this microRNA precursor (67 nucleotides) under Bombyx mori (domestic silkworm). RNAcentral's name for it is "mir-2774 microRNA precursor family". It matches the Rfam family "mir-2774 microRNA precursor family". Lineage: Eukaryota; Metazoa; Arthropoda; Insecta; Lepidoptera; Bombycidae. The record is from Rfam by way of RNAcentral.